GCCCUCGUAGCUCAGGGGACAGAGCACCGGUCUCCGGAACCGGGUGCGCAGGUUCGAGUCCUGCCGAGGGCG
RNAcentral lists this transfer RNA (72 nucleotides) under bacterium. RNAcentral's name for it is "tRNA-Arg". It matches the Rfam family "tRNA". Rfam says of the family: Transfer RNA (tRNA) molecules are approximately 80 nucleotides in length. Their secondary structure includes four short double-helical elements and three loops (D, anti-codon, and T loops). RNAcentral also lists the same sequence under 1 other name. The record is from RNAcentral.